AAGUCGUAACAAGGUUUCCGUAGGUGAACCUGCGGAAGGAUCAUUAUUGAAUAAACCUGAUGUGGUUGUUGCUGGCUCUUUCGGGAGUAUGUGCACGCCCGUCAUCUUUAUAUUUCCACCUGUGCACCUUUUGUAGACCCGCGCGACUUGAGCAAUCAAGUCAAGUAGGCCUACGUUUUAUCAUAUACCCCAUAGUAUGUAUCAGAAUGUAUCAGUGGGCUUUGUGCCUAUAAACACUAUACAACUUUCAGCAACGGAUCUCUUGGCUCUC
Molecule: unclassified non-coding RNA, 271 nt
Filed under: Psilocybe sp.
Lineage: Eukaryota; Fungi; Basidiomycota; Agaricomycetes; Agaricales; Agrocybaceae
Description: partial internal transcribed spacer region
Rfam family: Eukaryotic small subunit ribosomal RNA (bases 1-46)
Source: RNAcentral